Molecule: microRNA precursor, 89 nt
Filed under: Cephalotus follicularis
Lineage: Eukaryota; Viridiplantae; Streptophyta; Magnoliopsida; Oxalidales; Cephalotaceae
Description: mir-160 microRNA precursor family
Rfam family: mir-160 microRNA precursor family
About the family: The hairpin precursors (represented here) are predicted based on base pairing and cross-species conservation -- their extents are not known. In this case the mature sequence is excised from the 5' arm of the hairpin.
Source: Rfam by way of RNAcentral
AUCUGCCUGGCUCCCUGGAUGCCAACUAAGAAGUUUGUCAAUAUGAGUGUUUGACUCUUCCUAUUUGGCGUCACGGGAGUCAUGCAGGU